Molecule: ribosomal RNA, 1360 nt
Filed under: uncultured bacterium
Lineage: Bacteria
Description: partial 16S ribosomal RNA
Rfam family: Bacterial small subunit ribosomal RNA
Source: RNAcentral
GACGAACGCUGGCGGCGUGCUUAACACAUGCAAGUCGAACGGAAAGGCCCUGCUUUUGUGGGGUGCUCGAGUGGCGAACGGGUGAGUAACACGUGAGUAACCUGCCCUUGACUUUGGGAUAACUUCAGGAAACUGGGGCUAAUACCGGAUAGGAGCUCCUGCUGCAUGGUGGGGGUUGGAAAGUUUCGGCGGUUGGGGAUGGACUCGCGGCUUAUCAGCUUGUUGGUGGGGUAGUGGCUUACCAAGGCUUUGACGGAUAGCCGGCCUGAGAGGGUGACCGGCCACAUUGGGACUGAGAUACGGCCCAGACUCCUACGGGAGGCAGCAGUGGGGAAUAUUGCACAAUGGGCGGAAGCCUGAUGCAGCAACGCCGCGUGCGGGAUGACGGCCUUCGGGUUGUAAACCGCUUUCGCCUGUGACGAAUCGUGAGUGACGGUAAUGGGUAAAGAACCACCUGCUAACUACUUGCCAGCAGCCGCGGGGAUACUUAUGGUGCGAGCGUUGUCCUGAUUUAUUGGGCGUAAAUGGCUCGUAGGUGGUUUAUCUCCUCCGCACUGUAAUCUUGGGGCUUAUCCCUGAGCGUGCUUUCGAUACGGGUUGACUUGAGGAAGGUAGGGGAGAAUGGAAUUCCUGGUGGAGCGGUGGAAUGCGCAGAUAUCAGGAGGAACACCAGUGGCGAAGGCGGUUCUCUGGGCCUUUCCUGACGCUGAGGAGCGAAAGCGUGGGGAGCGAACAGGCUUAGAUACCCUGGUAGUCCACGCUGUAAACGGUGGGUACUAGGUGUGGGGUCCAUUCCACGGGUUCCGUGCCGUAGCUAACGCUUUAAGUACCCCGCCUGGGGAGUACGGCCGCAAGGCUAAAACUCAAAGGAAUUGACGGGGCCCCGCACAAGCGGCGGAGCAUGCGGAUUAAUUCGAUGCAACGCGUAGAACCUUACCUGGGUUUGACAUGGAUCGGGAGUGCUUCCAGAUGGGUGUGCCUCUGUUGGGGUCGGUUCACAGGUGGUGCAUGGCUGUCCUCAGCUCGUGUCGUGAGAUGUUUGGGUUUAAGUCCCGCUUCGAGCGCAUCCCCUUGUUCUACUGUUGCCAACACGUUUAGGUGGGGACUCUAUGGAGACCGCCGGGGUCAACUCAUACGAAGGUGGGGAAGACGUCAAGUUAUCAUGCCCCUUAUGUCCUGGGCUUCACGCCAUGCUCCUUUGGUUAGUUCAUAUUAUUGUCAAUCCCUGUGAUGGUGAACGAAUUCUCUGUAAAUCCUGGUCUCUUUUCCGAAUUGGUGCCUGCUACUCUAACCUCUUUAUUCGGAAUCCUUUUAUUAACCUCAAAUCUCAAACUCUUCCGUGUAAUACUUUUCCGGGGUU